RNAcentral lists this ribosomal RNA (465 nucleotides) under Vreelandella stevensii. RNAcentral describes it as "partial 16S ribosomal RNA". It matches the Rfam family "Bacterial small subunit ribosomal RNA", at positions 338 to 795 of the family's 1533-position model. The record is from RNAcentral. Lineage: Bacteria; Pseudomonadati; Pseudomonadota; Gammaproteobacteria; Oceanospirillales; Halomonadaceae.
CCUACGGGUGGCAGCAGUGGGGAAUAUUGGACAAUGGGGGCAACCCUGAUCCAGCCAUGCCGCGUGUGUGAAGAAGGCCCUCGGGUUGUAAAGCACUUUCAAUGAGGAAGAACGCCUGGUGGUUAAUACCCAUCAGGAAAGACAUCACUCACAGAAGAAGCACCGGCUAACUCCGUGCCAGCAGCCGCGGUAAUACGGAGGGUGCGAGCGUUAAUCGGAAUUACUGGGCGUAAAGCGCGCGUAGGUGGCUUGAUAAGCCGGUUGUGAAAGCCCCGGGCUCAACCUGGGAACGGCAUCCGGAACUGUCAAGCUAGAGUGCAGGAGAGGAAGGUAGAAUUCCCGGUGUAGCGGUGAAAUGCGUAGAGAUCGGGAGGAAUACCAGUGGCGAAGGCGGCCUUCUGGACUGACACUGACACUGAGGUGCGAAAGCGUGGGUAGCAAACAGGAUUAGAUACCCCAGUAGUC